RNAcentral lists this ribosomal RNA (653 nucleotides) under uncultured bacterium. RNAcentral describes it as "bacterial SSU rRNA". It matches the Rfam family "Bacterial small subunit ribosomal RNA", at positions 137 to 808 of the family's 1533-position model. The record is from RNAcentral.
CGGGGGAUAACAGCUGGAAACGGCUGCUAAUACCGCAUAAGCGCACAGAGCUGCAUGGCUCGGUGUGAAAAACUCCGGUGGUAUGGGAUGGGCCCGCGUCUGAUUAGGCAGUUGGCGGGGUAACGGCCCACCAAACCGACGAUCAGUAGCCGGCCUGAGAGGGCGACCGGCCACAUUGGGACUGAGACACGGCCCAAACUCCUACGGGAGGCAGCAGUGGGGAAUAUUGCACAAUGGGGGAAACCCUGAUGCAGCGACGCCGCGUGAGCGAAGAAGUAUUUCGGUAUGUAAAGCUCUAUCAGCAGGGAAGAUAAUGACGGUACCUGACUAAGAAGCCCCGGCUAACUACGUGCCAGCAGCCGCGGUAAUACGUAGGGGGCAAGCGUUAUCCGGAUUUACUGGGUGUAAAGGGAGCGUAGACGGCAAGGCAAGUCUGAUGUGAAAACCCAGGGCUUAACCCUGGGACUGCAUUGGAAACUGUCUGGCUCGAGUGCCGGAGAGGUAAGCGGAAUUCCUAGUGUAGCGGUGAAAUGCGUAGAUAUUAGGAAGAACACCAGUGGCGAAGGCGGCUUACUGGACGGUAACUGACGUUGAGGCUCGAAAGCGUGGGGAGCAAACAGGAUUAGAUACCCUGGUAGUCCACGCCGUAAACG